AAACUUAAGGAAUUGACGGGGGCCCGCACAAGCGGAGGAACAUGUGGUUUAAUCGAAGCAACGCGAAGAACCUUACCAGGCCUUGACAUGCUAGGGAACCCGGGUGAAAGCCUGGGGUGCCCCGCGAGGGGAGCCCUAGCACAGGUGCUGCAUGGCCGUCGUCAGCUCGUGCCGUGAGGUGUUGGGUUAAGUCCCGCAACGAGCGCAACCCCCGCCGUUAGUUGCCAGCGGUUCGGCCGGGCACUCUAACGGGACUGCCCGCGAAAGCGGGAGGAAGGAGGGGACGACGUCUGGUCAGCAUGGCCCUUACGGCCUGGGCGACACACGUGCUACAAUGCCCACUACAAAGCGAGGCCACCCGGCAACGGGGAGCUAAUCGCAAAAAGGUGGGCCCAGUUCGGAUUGGGGUCUGCAACCCGACCCCAUGAAGCCGGAAUCGCUAGUAAUCGCGGAUCAACCAUGCCGCGGUGAAUACGUUCCCGGGCCUU
This 488-nucleotide ribosomal RNA is filed under the name uncultured Thermus sp. RNAcentral's name for it is "bacterial SSU rRNA". It matches the Rfam family "Bacterial small subunit ribosomal RNA", at positions 897 to 1382 of the family's 1533-position model. The record is from RNAcentral. Lineage: Bacteria; Thermotogati; Deinococcota; Deinococci; Thermales; Thermaceae.